CACCAGACUCCUACGGGAGGCAGCAGUGGGGGAUAUUGCACAAUGGGGGAAACCCUGAUGCAGCGACGCCGCGUGGGCGAAGAAGUAUUUCGGUAUGUAAAGCCCUAUCAGCAGGGAAGAAGAAAUGACGGUACCUGAGUAAGAAGCACCGGCUAAAUACGUGCCAGCAGCCGCGGUAAUACGUAUGGUGCAAGCGUUAUCCGGAUUUACUGGGUGUAAAGGGAGCGCAGGCGGCACGGCAAGCCUGAUGUGAAAGCCCGCGGCCCAACCGCGGGACUGCAUUGGGAACUACCGGGCUGGAGUGCGGGAGGGGCAGGCGGAAUUCCUGGUGUAGCGGUGAAAUGCGUAGAUAUUAGGAGGAACACCGGUGGCGAAGGCGGCCUGCUGGACUGCGACUGACGUUGAGGCCCGAAAGCGUGGGGAGCAAACAGGAUUAGAUACCCUGGUAU
RNAcentral lists this ribosomal RNA (449 nucleotides) under uncultured bacterium. Its description in RNAcentral is "partial 16S ribosomal RNA". It matches the Rfam family "Bacterial small subunit ribosomal RNA", at positions 329 to 793 of the family's 1533-position model. The record is from RNAcentral.